Molecule: ribosomal RNA, 940 nt
Filed under: Schizoptera sp. CW-2013a
Lineage: Eukaryota; Metazoa; Arthropoda; Insecta; Hemiptera; Schizopteridae
Description: bacterial SSU rRNA
Rfam family: Eukaryotic small subunit ribosomal RNA
Source: RNAcentral
AGCAGGCACGCAAAUUACCCACUCCCAGCACGGGGAGGUAGUGACGAAAAAUAACGAUACGGGACUCAUCCGAGGCCUCGUAAUCGGAAUGAGUACACUUUAAAUCCUUUAACAAGGAUCAAUUAGAGGACAAGUCUGGUGCCAGCACCCGCGGUAAUUCCAGCUCUAAUAGCGUAUAUUAAAGUUGUUGCGGUUAAAAAGCUCGUAGUUGGUUCUGUGUGCCAUGCUGUUGGUUCACCGCCUGCCGGUGCAACUGACAUGUCAUGGGACGUACUGUCGGUGGCUAUUAAGGCCCUAUUCUUUUGAUUUAGGUAAAACUUUAUCAAAGGGGUAGGUAACCUGUAAUAGCCGGUUAACUCCCACCGCGGUGCUCUUUACUGAGUGUCGAGGUGGGCCGACAUUUUUACUUUGAACAAAUUAGAGUGCUCAAAGCAGGCAAAAAUUUGCCUGAAUAGUGGUGCAUGGAAUAAUAGAAUAGGACCUUGGUUCUAUUUUGUUGGUUUUUAAGAAUCCAAGGUAAUGAUCAAUAUGGACAGGCGGGGGCAUUCGUAUUGUGACGUUAGAGGUGAAAUUCUUGGAUCGUCGCAAGACGAACUAGAGCGAAAGCAUUUGCCAAGUAUGUCUUAAUUGAUCAAGAACGAAAGUUAGAGGAUCGAAGGCGAUCAGAUACCGCCCUAGUUCUAACCAUAAACGAUGUCAGCCAGCGAUCCGUCGAUGUUUUUUUCAUGACUCGACGGGCAGCUUCCGGGAAACCAAAGCUUUUGGAUUCCGGGGGAAGUAUGGUUGCAAAGCUGAAACUUAAAGGAAUUGACGGAAGGGCACCACAAGAAGUGGAGCUUGCGGUUCAAUUUGACUCAACACGGGAAACCUCACUAGACCCAGACAUUUGGAGGAUUGACAGAUUGAUAGCUCUUUCUUGAUUAAGUGGGUAGUGGUGCAU